UAAAUAUCAAGAGUCUAGCGAGGGAUACUGGCCCUACGACCUAGCGGCAACCGGGUGGAAACAUCACGGUGCUACUUCCAGCCUGACGUAGUUCAGGAAGAUAUUUU
RNAcentral lists this non-coding RNA (107 nucleotides) under Candidatus Saccharimonadota. Its description in RNAcentral is "Candidatus Saccharibacteria SAM-I sequence". It matches the Rfam family "SAM riboswitch aptamer (S box leader)". Rfam says of the family: The SAM riboswitch is found upstream of a number of genes which code for proteins involved in methionine or cysteine biosynthesis in Gram-positive bacteria. The SAM riboswitch acts at the level of transcription termination control. The predicted structure consists of a complex stem-loop region followed by a single stem loop terminator region. The record is from RNAcentral.